Molecule: ribosomal RNA, 253 nt
Filed under: uncultured bacterium
Lineage: Bacteria
Description: partial 16S ribosomal RNA
Rfam family: Bacterial small subunit ribosomal RNA
Source: RNAcentral
UACGUAGGGUGCGAGCGUUGUCCGGAAUUAUUGGGCGUAAAGAGCUUGUAGGCGGUCUGUCGCGUCUGCUGUGAAAAUCCGGGGCUCAACCCCGGACUUGCAGUGGGUACGGGCAGACUAGAGUGUGGUAGGGGAGACUGGAAUUCCUGGUGUAGCGGUGAAAUGCGCAGAUAUCAGGAGGAACACCGGUGGCGAAGGCGGUGGUCUGGGCCGGCACUGACGCUGAGGAGCGAAAGCGUGGGUAGCAAACAGG